Molecule: ribosomal RNA, 938 nt
Filed under: Bradyrhizobium elkanii
Lineage: Bacteria; Pseudomonadati; Pseudomonadota; Alphaproteobacteria; Hyphomicrobiales; Nitrobacteraceae
Description: bacterial SSU rRNA
Rfam family: Bacterial small subunit ribosomal RNA
Source: RNAcentral
CGGGCAUAGCAAUAUGUCAGCGGCAGACGGGUGAGUAACGCGUGGGAACGUACCUUUUGGUUCGGAACAACUGAGGGAAACUUCAGCUAAUACCGGAUAAGCCCUUACGGGGAAAGAUUUAUCGCCGAAAGAUCGGCCCGCGUCUGAUUAGCUAGUUGGUGAGGUAAUGGCUCACCAAGGCGACGAUCAGUAGCUGGUCUGAGAGGAUGAUCAGCCACAUUGGGACUGAGACACGGCCCAAACUCCUACGGGAGGCAGCAGUGGGGAAUAUUGGACAAUGGGCGCAAGCCUGAUCCAGCCAUGCCGCGUGAGUGAUGAAGGCCCUAGGGUUGUAAAGCUCUUUUGUGCGGGAAGAUAAUGACGGUACCGCAAGAAUAAGCCCCGGCUAACUUCGUGCCAGCAGCCGCGGUAAUACGAAGGGGGCUAGCGUUGCUCGGAAUCACUGGGCGUAAAGGGUGCGUAGGCGGGUCUUUAAGUCAGGGGUGAAAUCCUGGAGCUCAACUCCAGAACUGCCUUUGAUACUGAAGAUCUUGAGUUCGGGAGAGGUGAGUGGAACUGCGAGUGUAGAGGUGAAAUUCGUAGAUAUUCGCAAGAACACCAGUGGCGAAGGCGGCUCACUGGCCCGAUACUGACGCUGAGGCACGAAAGCGUGGGGAGCAAACAGGAUUAUAUACCCUGGUAGUCCACGCCGUAAACGAUGAAUGCCAGCCGUUAGUGGGUUUACUCACUAGUGGCGCAGCUAACGCUUUAAGCAUUCCGCCUGGGGAGUACGGUCGCAAGAUUAAAACUCAAAGGAAUGACGGGGGCCCGCACAAGCGGUGGAGCAUGUGGUUUAUUUCGACGCAACGCGCAGAACCUUACCAGCCCUUGACAUCCCGGUCGCGGACUCCAGAGACGGAGUUCUUCAGUUCGGCUGGAACCGGAGACAGGUGCUGCAU